This 403-nucleotide ribosomal RNA is filed under the name uncultured Eubacteriales bacterium. RNAcentral's name for it is "uncultured Clostridiales bacterium partial 16S ribosomal RNA". It matches the Rfam family "Bacterial small subunit ribosomal RNA", at positions 355 to 774 of the family's 1533-position model. Lineage: Bacteria; Bacillati; Bacillota; Clostridia; Eubacteriales. The record is from RNAcentral.
UGGGGAAUAUUGCGCAAUGGGGGAAACCCUGACGCAGCAACGCCGCGUGAAGGAUGAAGGUUUUCGGAUCGUAAACUUCUUUGAUUGGGGACGAAUAAUGACGGUACCCAAGGAACAAGCCACGGCUAACUACGUGCCAGCAGCCGCGGUAAUACGUAGGUGGCGAGCGUUGUCCGGAAUUACUGGGUGUAAAGGGCGUGUAGGCGGGAAUGUAAGUCAGAUGUGAAAACCCAUGGCUUAACUGUGGGACUGCAUCUGAAACUAUGUUUCUUGAGUGAUGGAGAGGAAAGCGGAAUUCCUAGUGUAGCGGUGAAAUGCGUAGAUAUUAGGAGGAACACCAGUGGCGAAGGCGGCUUUCUGGACAUUAACUGACGCUGAGGCGCGAAAGCGUGGGGAGCAAACA